This 460-nucleotide ribosomal RNA is filed under the name uncultured bacterium. Its description in RNAcentral is "partial 16S ribosomal RNA". It matches the Rfam family "Bacterial small subunit ribosomal RNA", at positions 338 to 795 of the family's 1533-position model. The record is from RNAcentral.
CCUACGUGUGGCAGCCGUUAGGAAUAUUGGUCAAUGGACGAGAGUCUGAACCAGCCAAGUCGCGUGAAGGAUGACUGCCCUAUGGGUUGUCAACUUCUUUUAUAAAGUAAUAAAACGAGUCACGUGUGCCUUUUUGCAUGUACUUUAUGAAUAAGGAUCGGCUAACUCCGUGCCAGCAGCCUCGGUAAUACGGAGGAUCCGAGCGUUAUCCGGAUUUAUUGGGUUUAACGGGAGAGUAGAUGGGUUGUUAAGUCAGUUGUGAAAGUUUGCGGCUCAACCGUAAAAUUGCAAGUGAUACUGGCAGUCUUGAGUACAGUUGAGGUAGGCGGAAUUCGUGGUGUAGGGGUGAAAUGCUUAGAUAUCACGAAGAACCUCGAUUGCGAAGGCAGCUAACUAACCUGUGACUGACAUUGAUGCUCGAAAGUGUGGGUAUCAAACAGGAUUAGAUACCCGGGUAGUC